AGAGUUUGAUCCUGGCUCAGGAUAAGCGCUGACGGUGUGCUUAAUACAUGCAAGUCGAACGAGCAAUAGGAGAGUGGUAACACUUUCUUAAAGCUAGUGGCGAACGGGUGCGUAACGCGUGGGUAAUCUGCCUUGAAGAUUGGGAUAACUCCUUGAAAAAGGAGCUAAUACCGGAUGUGCUGUAAUUCUCGCAUGUUUUUUUACAGCAAAAGUAGCCGCAAGGCUUCUGCUUCAAGAUGAGCCCGCGUCCUAUUAGCUUGUUGGUAGGGUAACGGCCUACCAAGGCUAUGAUGGGUAGCCGGUCUGAGAGGAUGGUCGGUCACACUGGGACUAGAUACGGCCCAGACUCCUACGGGAGGCAGCAGUAGGGAAUCUUGCGCAAUGGGCGAAAGCCUGACGCAGCGGCACCGUGUGAAGGAUGAAGGUCUUCGGAUCGUAAACUUCUGUCAAUUGGGGACGAAGGUACUAAGGUUAAUAGCCUUUAGUAUUGACGGUACCCAAAAAGGAAGUCUCGGCUUACUCCGUGCCAGCAGCCGCGGUAAGACGGGGGAGGCUAGCGUUGUCCGGAAUUAUUGGGCGUAAAGAGCGCGUAGGUGGCUUAUCAAGUCAUUUGUGAAAACUUUAGGCUUAACUUAAAGAUUGCAAGUGAUACUGGUGGGCUUGAGCACAGUAGAGGAAAGUGGAAUUCCUGGUGUAGCGGUGAAAUGCGCAGAUAUCAGGAAGAACACCAGUGGCGAAGGCGGCUUUCUGGGCUGUUGCUGACACUGAGGCGCAAAGCUAGGGGAGCGAACAGGAUUAGAUACCCUGGUAGUCCUAGCUGUAAACGAUGGACACUAGGUGUGGGAAGUUAUCGACGCUUUCCGUGCCGAAGCUAACGCAUUAAGCGUCCCGCCUGGGGAGUACGGCCGCAAGGCUAAAACUCAAAGGAAUUGACGGGGGCCCGCACAAGCGGCGGAGCAUGUGGCUUAAUUCGACUCAACGCGAAGAACCUUACCAAGGUUUGACAUCAUUCUGAAGUAUAUAGAAAUAUAUACGCCCGCAAGGGUAGUAUGACAGGUGGUGCAUGGUUGUCGUCAGCUCGUGUCGUGAGAUGUUGGGUUAAGUCCCGCAACGAGCGCAACCCUCUUCCUAUGUUGCCAUCAGUUCGGUGGGCACUCUUAGGAUACUGCCAAUGUAAAAUUGGAGGAAGGUGGGGAUGACGUCAAAUCAUCAUGCCCUUUAUGCCUUGGGCUGCACACGUGCUACAAUGGUCUGUACAAAGAGCUGCGAUACCGUGAGGUGGAGCGAAUCUCAAAAAACAGAUCUAAGUCCAGAUUGAAGGCUGCAACUCGCCUUCAUGAAGUCGGAGUCGCUAGUAAUCGUGGAUCAGCACGCCACGGUGAAUACGUUCCCGGGCCUUGUACACACCGCCCGUCACACCACGAAAGUUGGAUACACCCGAAGCCAGUGAGCUAACCAGCAAUGGGAGCAGCUGUCGAAGGUGGAGCUGAUGAUUGGGGUGAAGUCGUAACGAGGUA
Molecule: ribosomal RNA, 1517 nt
Filed under: metagenome
Description: bacterial SSU rRNA
Rfam family: Bacterial small subunit ribosomal RNA
Source: RNAcentral